GACGAACGCUGGCGGCGUGCCUAAUACAUGCAAGUAGAACGCACAGUUUAUACCGUAGCUUGCUACACCAUAGACUGUGAGUUGCGAACGGGUGAGUAACGCGUAGGUAACCUGCCUGGUAGCGGGGGAUAACUAUUGGAAACGAUAGCUAAUACCGCAUAAUAUUAAUUAUUGCAUGAUAAUUAAUUGAAAGGUGCAAUUGCACCACUACCAGAUGGACCUGCGUUGUAUUAGCUAGUAGGUGAGGUAACGGCUCACCUAGGCGACGAUACAUAGCCGACCUGAGAGGGUGAUCGGCCACACUGGGACUGAGACACGGCCCAGACUCCUACGGGAGGCAGCAGUAGGGAAUCUUCGGCAAUGGACGAAAGUCUGACCGAGCAACGCCGCGUGAGUGAAGAAGGUUUUCGGAUCGUAAAGCUCUAUUGUAAGAGAAGAACGGGUGUGAGAGUGGAAAGUUCACACUGUGACGGUAUCUUACCAGAAAGGGACGGCUAACUACGUG
This 505-nucleotide ribosomal RNA is filed under the name uncultured bacterium. Its description in RNAcentral is "partial 16S ribosomal RNA". It matches the Rfam family "Bacterial small subunit ribosomal RNA", at positions 28 to 507 of the family's 1533-position model. The record is from RNAcentral.